RNAcentral lists this unclassified non-coding RNA (876 nucleotides) under Zea mays. Its description in RNAcentral is "misc RNA Zm00001eb168330". Lineage: Eukaryota; Viridiplantae; Streptophyta; Magnoliopsida; Poales; Poaceae. The record is from RNAcentral.
CACACAAGAGGACACAUUAAAGAAUUUGGUAUUCAGAAAGGAAAAUACAGGAGCACAUCAUCGUCAAAAUAUGAACGCCUUCCAGAGAUGGUCUUAAGCAGUACAAAGCAAACUUAUACACUGCGUUGUACUCAUCAGGAGCAUUGUACUAUUAAGUCGAUAAGGUGUAGGCUGCCAUUCCUGGUUCUGCCAUUCCGAUUCCCAUGUCCCCACCCGUGGCGUUCUGCCAUUUCCGAUUCCCAUGUCACAACCUCGAGAUGAUGACGAAUGGUGAGGCGAGCAGCGAGCACAAAUGACGCGAACAUGGCAGCGCUCGGCGGCUCCGGCAGGACAGAACACCGGCGCGACCGCGGACACAGACGAAUCUUGGGCUAGCCGGUAAGCCUUGCCGAAACAACGAAUACGCUACACCGAUCCAAGCGCGAGGGAAUGGGAGGUGGAUGUCGUGGCGGUUUCUUCGUUAUGGGCGCGUGCGGCUCGGGCCUAGCAGCUUGGAGAAGAUAAACAGGGGCUGGCACGCGGGCUGGCUCCUGGGCCCCGCUGCCAGGGGCAGCACACCUCCAGCCAUGGCUUGGGCGAGAGGCGCCGAGCGCGUGGGGUGGGCCUCGGCCUGGGCUGGCGCGGGGCAUACCGCCGAUCCGAGCGCGGGGAAAUGGGAGGUGGAUGUCGUGGUGGUUUCUUCGUUGUGGGCGCGUGUCGGAGCUAAAGUUCCACAGCGGGAAGCUCCUCCAGGGCAGCAGCCACGUCGUGUCGGGAAACGGCUCACAGAACAGCUCUCCCAUCUCGUUGCUGGAGUCGACGAGGAGCACACGGUCGGUGAGGAGCGCGUACAGGAACACGGACGCCGCGGCGAUGAUCCGGUUCCCAAGCCCGCGG